RNAcentral lists this ribosomal RNA (253 nucleotides) under uncultured bacterium. RNAcentral's name for it is "partial 16S ribosomal RNA". It matches the Rfam family "Bacterial small subunit ribosomal RNA", at positions 524 to 776 of the family's 1533-position model. The record is from RNAcentral.
UACAGAGGUCUCAAGCGUUGUUCGGAUUCAUUGGGCGUAAAGGGUGCGUAGGUGGCGGGGUAAGUCAGGUGUGAAAUUUCGGAGCUCAACUCCGAAACUGCAUUUGAUACUGCCUUGCUUGAGGACUGGAGAGGAGACUGGAAUUCACGGUGUAGCAGUGAAAUGCGUAGAGAUCGUGAGGAAGACCAGUGGCGAAGGCGGGUCUCUGGACAGUUCCUGACACUGAGGCACGAAGGCCAGGGGAGCAAACGGG